UUGCAGCCAUAUGUCAUUGAAACACAGGUUCUCAUAUGAUCACUGAUGUUAAGCAAUGCUGAGCCUGGUCAGUAUUUAAAUGAGUGACUUCUUGGGAAUACUAGACGC
Molecule: non-coding RNA, 108 nt
Organism: Acanthosepion pharaonis
Lineage: Eukaryota; Metazoa; Mollusca; Cephalopoda; Sepiida; Sepiidae
Source: the annotation of a GenBank genome assembly